CAAAAUGAACGAUGUUUAUUUUUUCUCUCUAAGUGACGAUAACGUUUUGGUUCAUAGUAAAAACUUUCAUAACUUUCUUUUUGAUAGCAAAUUGAUUCAUGAUGACCAUUUUUGUUACAAAAUGAACAUCUCAACUUAAGUUCUCUAUUUGCUGGCAAAAGAACAUUUUCAAAAAUUUUGUUUUUAACUUCAUUAAAACCUAAACCAUUUUUGUUAAGAGCUUGAGAUUGUGAUCCCAUAAUGUUUUGAAAAGUUUCAGUUGAUUUUAUGAACCCAAUGAGAUCAUUUCUUAGUUCCAUUAUUUCAUUUUUUAACACAACAUUUUCAUCUAUUUUCUUAGAUAAAUCACUAGAGCAAACAUGUUUUUCUUUUGACUCAAUUAAGUCUUUGUUAAUCUUUUCAAAAUUA
Molecule: long non-coding RNA, 408 nt
Filed under: Trifolium pratense (red clover)
Lineage: Eukaryota; Viridiplantae; Streptophyta; Magnoliopsida; Fabales; Fabaceae
Description: long non-coding RNA (TPRA_LNC008412)
Source: RNAcentral